This 460-nucleotide ribosomal RNA is filed under the name uncultured bacterium. RNAcentral's name for it is "partial 16S ribosomal RNA". It matches the Rfam family "Bacterial small subunit ribosomal RNA", at positions 338 to 795 of the family's 1533-position model. The record is from RNAcentral.
CCUACGGGUGGCAGCAGUGAGGAAUAUUGGUCAAUGGGCGCAAGCCUGAACCAGCCAAGUAGCGUGAAGGAAGACGGUCCUAUGGGUUGUAAACCUCUUUUGUCGGGGAGCAAAACGCGCCACGCGUAGCGUUCCGAGAGUACCGUAUGAAAAAGCAUCGGCUAACUCCGUGCCAGCAGCCGCGGUAAUACGGAAGGUGCGGGCGUUAUCCGGAUUUAUUGGGUUUAAAGGGUGCGCAGGCCGUCUGUUAAGUCAGCUGUGAAAGGCCCGGGCUCAACCCCGGCCCUGCAGUUGGAACUGGCAGUCUCGAGUUGGAGAGAAGCAUGCGGAAUGCGCGGUGUAGCGGUGAAAUGCAUAGAUAUCGCGCAGAACCCCGAUUGCGAAGGCAGCAUGCUGGCUCCACACUGACGCUGAGGCUCGAAAGCGUGGGUAUCGAACAGGAUUAGAUACCCGAGUAGUC